RNAcentral lists this ribosomal RNA (427 nucleotides) under uncultured bacterium. Its description in RNAcentral is "partial 16S ribosomal RNA". It matches the Rfam family "Bacterial small subunit ribosomal RNA", at positions 355 to 774 of the family's 1533-position model. The record is from RNAcentral.
UGGGGAAUAUUGGACAAUGGGCGAAAGCCUGAUCCAGCCAUGCCGCGUGUGUGAAGAAGGUCUUCGGAUUGUAAAGCACUUUAAGUUGGGAGGAAGGGCAUUAACCUAAUACGUUAGUGUUUUGACGUUACCGACAGAAUAAGCACCGGCUAACUCUGUGCCAGCAGCCGCGGUAAUACAGAGGGUGCAAGCGUUAAUCGGAAUUACUGGGCGUAAAGCGCGCGUAGGUGGUAUGUUAAGUUGGAUGUGAAAGCCCCGGGCUCAACCUGGGAACUGCAUCCAAAACUGGCAAGCUAGAGUACGGUAGAGGGUGGUGGAAUUUCCUGUGUAGCGGUGAAAUGCGUAGAUAUAGGAAGGAACACCAGUGGCGAAGGCGACCACCUGGACUGAUACUGACACUGAGGUGCGAAAGCGUGGGGAGCAAACA